RNAcentral lists this long non-coding RNA (293 nucleotides) under Callithrix jacchus (white-tufted-ear marmoset). RNAcentral describes it as "lncRNA (ENSCJAG00000083306.1)". Lineage: Eukaryota; Metazoa; Chordata; Mammalia; Primates; Cebidae. The record is from RNAcentral.
AAGUUGCAAAAGCCUCUGCUGAUAAGCUUUCAUAGCCAGAACCUCAGACCAGAGGGAUCUAGAUGAGGUUGACUGAACAAGCAAGCUGAUUUCCAGUCCUUUGGCACGCUGCCCUCUCUCCACUCCCACCACCGAGGAGGGUGCAGCCUCCUCUCAGCUGCAGAUGGCCAUGUGACACAAAUCUGGCCAGUGAGGGUUAAAUCUGUGAUGGCGUUCUCAUUCGUGUUUUCGGGAGACAGUCCUUCCUGUUCUCCUUUCCUCUCUCUUUGAAUGCAUAUGUGAUAACCAAGGGG